GUAUCAGGGUUUAUUAAAUAAUAUAUUAGAAUUAAUAAUUCCCGAAUUUUAGGGAGCUAAUUAUAAAAUUAUUUUAAUGUAAAAAAAUUAUUUAUAAUUUAUAAUUUGUAAUUAUAUGUUAGUCAUUCUUUAAUAUAUCUGGUUUUCUAAGAAAUUAAUUUAAUUAAUUUAAUCAAAUAAGAAUUUUUCUUGAAAAAUUUACUUUUGAUUAUAAAAAUUUUGAGGGGAUAAGCUUUUGAAAUAAUAAUUAUAAUAGAUUUUGAGUAUAGAUUAAGUAGGAUUAGAAGUUUCCAUUUUUUGUAGAGUUUAAUAACCGACUUUGUAUAAUAAUUUGAUUUAUUAAGUAUUUAAGUUUUUUUAUUAGAAUAAUUUGUUUAAUUUAUUUUUAAAUAUGAUAAUGAUAGAAUUAGUAAAUUUAUUUGUAUAAAAUCUUUAUAAUAUAAAGUUUUUAAUAAGGAACUCGGCAAUUUAAUUUUCCGCCUGUUUAAUAAAAACAUGUCUUUUUGUUUAAUAUUUAAAGUCUAGCCUGCCCAAUGAUUAUUUGAAUGGCCGCGGUAUUUUGACCGUGCAAAGGUAGCAUAAUCAUUAGUUUUUUAAUUGAAAGCUGGAAUGAACGGUUUGACGAGAAAAUUACUGUCUCUUUAAAAUUAAUUGAAUUUAAUUUUUUAGUUAAAAAGCUUAAAUGUUUAUAAGGGACGAGAAGACCCUAUAGAAUUUUAUAAUUUUAAACUUAAUAAUUUAUUGGAUUAUAUUUAUCAUUAAGUUUAAAAUUGUUUUGUUGGGGCGACAGGAAAAUUUAAUAAACUUUUCUUUAUUAAGAACAUUUAUUUAUGAAUAUAUGAUCCAUAAUUUGAUUAUAAGAGAAAAUUACCUUAGGGAUAACAGCGUUAUUAAUUUGGAGAGUUCAUAUCGAUAAAUUAGUUUGCGACCUCGAUGUUGGAUUAAAAUUAUCUUUAGGUGGAGAAACUUAAAAGUUAAGUCUGUUCGACUUUUAAAAUUUUACAUGAUCUGAGUUCAAACCGGA
This 1024-nucleotide ribosomal RNA is filed under the name Cyclommatus scutellaris. Its description in RNAcentral is "partial 16S ribosomal RNA". The stretch from base 878 to 1024 matches the Rfam family "Archaeal large subunit ribosomal RNA", at positions 2542 to 2689 of the family's 2987-position model. Lineage: Eukaryota; Metazoa; Arthropoda; Insecta; Coleoptera; Lucanidae. The record is from RNAcentral.